CCUACGGGAGGCAGCAGUGAGGAAUAUUGGUCAAUGGGCGCGAGCCUGAACCAGCCAAGUCGCGUGAGGGAUGAAGGUUCUAUGGAUCGUAAACCUCUUUUGUAAGGGAAUAAAGUGUGGGACGUGUCCUAUUUUGUAUGUACCUUAUGAAUAAGGAUCGGCUAACUCCGUGCCAGCAGCCGCGGUAAUACGGAGGAUCCGAGCGUUAUCCGGAUUUAUUGGGUUUAAAGGGUGCGUAGGCGGCCUUUUAAGUCAGCGGUGAAAGUCUGUGGCUCAACCAUAGAAUUGCCGUUGAAACUGGGGGGCUUGAGGAGGUGUGAGGCAGGCGGAAGGCGCGGUGUAGCGGUGAAAUGCGUAGAUAUCACGCAGAACCCCGAUUGCGAAGGCAGCCUGCCAAGCCAUGACUGACGCUGAGGCACGAAAGCGUGGGGAUCAAACAGGAUUAGAUACCCUGGUAGUC
This 460-nucleotide ribosomal RNA is filed under the name uncultured bacterium. Its description in RNAcentral is "partial 16S ribosomal RNA". It matches the Rfam family "Bacterial small subunit ribosomal RNA", at positions 338 to 795 of the family's 1533-position model. The record is from RNAcentral.